AAGACUACAUACUUUCAGGGAUCAUUUCUGUAGUUCGUUACUAGAGAAGUUUCUCUGAUCGUGUAGAGCACCCAAAACUGCAAGGAGGAGUCACAGCACCCUCUCCUGAGCUGGAAGCUGUUUCCAGGAGUUGCUUUUGCAACUACCAAAAUUUUACUAUUGAUGAUCAUUCUUCUCUUCCCUUGGAAAAGUGAUGAUGCAGUCUGAGUGGU
Small nucleolar RNA from Sorex fumeus (smoky shrew), 212 nucleotides. RefSeq annotates it as small nucleolar RNA U3. The record is from RefSeq and is a predicted model, not a curated record. Lineage: Eukaryota; Metazoa; Chordata; Mammalia; Eulipotyphla; Soricidae. The transcript has a single exon.